CCUAAAACCAAGAAAGACAUUCUAAGUAACAGUUCAUCUGACCACUAAGACCCGGCAACCAAAGCCGAUCAACGGACCAAGUUACCCUAGGGAUAACAGCGCAAUCCCCUUUAAGAGUCCAUAUCGACAAGGGGGUUUACGACCUCGAUGUUGGAUCAGGACAUCCUAAUGGUGCAGCCGCUAUUAAGGGUUCGUUUGUUCAACGAUUAAAGU
This 213-nucleotide ribosomal RNA is filed under the name Trachelyopterus (Parauchenipterus) sp. Its description in RNAcentral is "partial 16S ribosomal RNA". It matches the Rfam family "Bacterial large subunit ribosomal RNA", at positions 2368 to 2594 of the family's 2925-position model. The record is from RNAcentral. Lineage: Eukaryota; Metazoa; Chordata; Actinopteri; Siluriformes; Auchenipteridae.